AGCAGCCUUGAAUUCUUCCUCGGUCUUGUAUUCCUUGUGGUUUUGGGCGAGUUCCUUAAGAGCAGCCUUCUCCUCAGCGGUGAUGGCCUUGAGG
Molecule: small RNA, 94 nt
Filed under: Caenorhabditis elegans
Lineage: Eukaryota; Metazoa; Nematoda; Chromadorea; Rhabditida; Rhabditidae
Description: Unclassified non-coding RNA F02A9.12
Source: RNAcentral